This 508-nucleotide ribosomal RNA is filed under the name uncultured bacterium. RNAcentral's name for it is "partial 16S ribosomal RNA". It matches the Rfam family "Bacterial small subunit ribosomal RNA", at positions 28 to 507 of the family's 1533-position model. The record is from RNAcentral.
GACGAACGCUGGCGGCGUGCCUAAUACAUGCAAGUCGAACGCUUCUUUCCUCCCGAGUGCUUGCACUCAAUUGGAAAGAGGAGUGGCGGACGGGUGAGUAACACGUGGGUAACCUACCCAUCAGAGGGGGAUAACACUUGGAAACAGGUGCUAAUACCGCAUAACAGUUUAUGCCGCAUGGCAUAAGAGUGAAAGGCGCUUUCGGGUGUCAUUGAUGGAUGGACCCGCGGUGCAUUAGCUAGUUGGUGAGGUAACGGCUCACCAAGGCCACGAUGCAUAGCCGACCUGAGAGGGUGAUCGGCCACACUGGGACUGAGACACGGCCCAGACUCCUACGGGAGGCAGCAGUAGGGAAUCUUCGGCAAUGGACGAAAGUCUGACCGAGCAACGCCGCGUGAGUGAAGAAGGUUUUCGGAUCGUAAAACUCUGUUGUUAGAGAAGAACAAGGACGUUAGUAACUGAACGUCCCCUGACGGUAUCUAACCAGAAAGCCACGGCUAACUACGUG